This 1421-nucleotide long non-coding RNA is filed under the name Equus caballus (horse). Its description in RNAcentral is "lncRNA (ENSECAG00000028577.3)". The record is from RNAcentral. Lineage: Eukaryota; Metazoa; Chordata; Mammalia; Perissodactyla; Equidae.
GUGCUCCGCUUCAGCAGUAGGGCAUUUGCCAGUUUGGAUCCUGGGUGUGGAUCUAGCACUGCUUAUCAAGGCAUGCUGUGGCAGGCACCUCACAUACAAAAUAGAGGAAGAUGGGCACAGAUGUUAGCUCAGGGCCAAUCUUCCUCAGAAAAAAGAGGAUUGGUGGUGGAUGUUAGUUCAGGGCUAAUCUUCCUCAAGAAAAAAAAAAAAAGAAGUGAUAUAGGGGCUGACCCAGUGGUGUAGUAGUUAGAUUUGCAUUCCCCACUUUGACAGCCUGGGGUUUGCGGGUUUGGAUCCCUGGUGCCACAAACCUACACACUGCUCAUCAAGCCAUGCUGUGGCGGCAUCCCCCAUACAAGAGAGGAAGAUUGGCAUGGCUGUUAGCUCAGGGACAAUCUUCCUCAGCACAAAAAAGAAAGAAAGAAAGAAAGUGAUAUGCAGCUGUGAUUAAACUGAGAGCUCGUGAAACCCGCCUGCCAUCAUCAGCGGCAAUGCCAGGGUUUGGGAGAGCUUCUGGCUGACCUGCUGUUCAGCUGGCCUCCACCCUUCCCCCAACCACCAGGACAUUUAAGCAAAACAACCUGCUUUUGCCCGAAUGACCCAGGUUGAUGAGGCCUGGAGACAUCUGAGAUGUAGAUCACAAGAGCUUCUGAAAAUUCAACUAUUAAAUCAACACAAUGUAUCAGAAUAGAGAUAUAAAAAAUGGAUUCCCGGACCAAUAGAACUGAGACGUAACUUCACAUAUCUAAGGAAAGAGAUGCUGUGUGAAUUAUUGGAAAUAUAGUGCAAUGAUAAGACAGAUAUCCUUCUUGUCCUCAAGACCUAGAAUACUAGUAGGAAACACAAACAUUGAACAAAUCAUCGUGCAAUUAAAACAAGUAAAACUUCUACAAUGGUAAAUCCUCUGAAGGACUGCAGGGUAAAAUGAAGGUCUUAAAGAUGCUGCAGAUGUGGUACAAGAAGAUUUGAAUCCCUUAUAGACAUUUAGGACCCCCAUCCAGAGGCAGUGUGUGUACUUCUUAAGAACUUGGACUCUGAAGAUGGAUCACCCACGUUCACAUCCCAACUUCCUAGUUAGCAAAAUCUGAGCCAGCCGACCCAGGAUGCUGGAGGAGAGUCAAGGCUGGGAAAGUACCGUGGACUGUGUUAGCAAUCAACAGAAAAGAUAUUUUUAAACAAAAGCAGUUUUCCAAGCUUCCCUGAAAAGAAACAAAAGGCUUUUCUAAAAUGAAUCCUGGUUAGAAACUGUUUUUCUUGUUCUACAACUUUUAUGUCACUUGGACCACAAGUGGGCACUUAGAGAUGGUUAUUUUCCUGUCGACAUCACUGCAUGGAUACUUCUUAGAACGACAUAACAGUGUUCAUGCUCAAUCUUCGCACCACUCACCCUCCAAUGACAGUGACUUUCAAAAACAAUAAAG